This 301-nucleotide ribosomal RNA is filed under the name uncultured bacterium. RNAcentral's name for it is "partial 16S ribosomal RNA". It matches the Rfam family "Bacterial small subunit ribosomal RNA", at positions 509 to 808 of the family's 1533-position model. The record is from RNAcentral.
CAGUCGCCGCGGUAAUACGUAGGGUGCAAGCGUUAAUCGGAAUUACUGGGCGUAAAGCGUGCGCAGGCGGUUAUAUAAGUCAGAUGUGAAAUCCCCGGGCUCAACCUGGGAACUGCAUUUGAGACUGUAUGGCUAGAGUGUGUCAGAGGGGGGUAGAAUUCCACGUGUAGCAGUGAAAUGCGUAGAUAUGUGGAGGAAUACCGAUGGCGAAGGCAGCCCCCUGGGAUAACACUGACGCUCAUGCACGAAAGCGUGGGGAGCAAACAGGAUUAGAUACCCCGUAGUCCCUGUCUCUUAUACA